RNAcentral lists this ribosomal RNA (940 nucleotides) under Halomonas huangheensis. RNAcentral's name for it is "bacterial SSU rRNA". It matches the Rfam family "Bacterial small subunit ribosomal RNA", at positions 59 to 991 of the family's 1533-position model. The record is from RNAcentral. Lineage: Bacteria; Pseudomonadati; Pseudomonadota; Gammaproteobacteria; Oceanospirillales; Halomonadaceae.
CAGUCGAGCGGAACGAUGGAAGCUUGCUUCCAGGCGUCGAGCGGCGGACGGGUGAGUAAUGCNUAGGAAUCUGCCCGAUAGUGGGGGAUAACCUGGGGAAACUCAGGCUAAUACCGCAUACGUCCUACGGGAGAAAGCAGGGGAUCUUCGGACCUUGCGCUAUCGGAUGAGCCUAUGUCGGAUUAGCUAGUUGGUGGGGUAAUGGCCUACCAAGGCGACGAUCCGUAGCUGGUCUGAGAGGAUGAUCAGCCNCAUCGGGACUGAGACACGGCCCGAACUCCUACGGGAGGCAGCAGUGGGGAAUAUUGGACAAUGGGCGAAAGCCUGAUCCAGCCAUGCCGCGUGUGUGAAGAAGGCUUUCGGGUUGUAAAGCACUUUCAGUGAGGAAGAACGCUUNCGGAUUAAUACUCCGGAAGAAAGACAUCACUCACAGAAGAAGCACCGGCUAACUCCGUGCCAGCAGCCGCGGUAAUACGGAGGGUGCGAGCGUUAAUCGGAAUUACUGGGCGUAAAGCGCGCGUAGGUGGCUUGAUAAGCCGGUUGUGAAAGCCCCGGGCUCAACCUGGGAACGGCAUCCGGAACUGUCAGGCUAGAGUGCANGAGAGGAAGGUANAAUUCCCGGUGUANCGGUGAAAUGCGUAGAGAUCGGGAGGAAUACCAGUGGCGAAGGCGGCCUUCUGGACUGACACUGACACUGAGGUGCNAAAGCGUGGGUAGCAAACAGGAUUAGAUACCCUGGUAGUCCACGCCGUANACGAUGUCGACUAGCCGUUGGGCUCCUUGAGAGCUUUGUGGCNCANUUAACGCGAUAAGUCGACCGCCUGGGGAGUACNGNCGCNAGGUUAAAACUCANAUGAAUUGACGGGGGCCCGCACAAGCNGUGGAGCAUGUGGUUUAAUUCGAUGCAACGCGAAGAACCUUACCUACCCUUGACAUCGAG